This 201-nucleotide small nuclear RNA is filed under the name Podospora anserina S mat+. Its description in RNAcentral is "U2 spliceosomal RNA". It matches the Rfam family "U2 spliceosomal RNA". From Rfam's summary of the family: U2 is a small nuclear RNA (snRNA) component of the spliceosome (involved in pre-mRNA splicing). Lineage: Eukaryota; Fungi; Ascomycota; Sordariomycetes; Sordariales; Podosporaceae. The record is from Rfam by way of RNAcentral.
UCAGCUCUCUUUGCCUUCUGGCUUAGAUCAAGUGUAGUAUCUGUUAUUUUCAGUUUAAUAUCUGAAACUGCUCCAACGGAGCAGAAUCUUGAUUAUCAUAAUAUUUUUUUUUAUCUCGGCUAACUGUCCUCUGGGCAUGCCCAUGACGGUUGGCCACAGUGUCCCUGGUCUUACACUGCCUCCAGGUGAUGCGAACCCUUU